This 263-nucleotide ribosomal RNA is filed under the name uncultured bacterium. RNAcentral describes it as "partial 16S ribosomal RNA". It matches the Rfam family "Bacterial small subunit ribosomal RNA", at positions 335 to 613 of the family's 1533-position model. The record is from RNAcentral.
UCCCUACGGGGCGCAGCAGUGGGGAAUAUUGGGCAAUGGGCGCAAGCCUGACCCAGCAACGCCGCGUGAAGGAAGAAGGCCCUCGGGUUGUAAACUUCUUUUCAGAGGGACGAAACAAAUGACGGUACCUCUUGAAUAAGCCACGGCUAACUACGUGCCAGCAGCCGCGGUAAUACGUAGGUGGCAAGCGUUAUCCGGAUUUACUGGGUGUAAAGGGCGUGUAGGCGGGUCUGCAAGUCAGAUGUGAAAUUCCAGGGCGCAAC